This 392-nucleotide long non-coding RNA is filed under the name Lathyrus oleraceus (garden pea). RNAcentral describes it as "Pisum sativum (pea) long non-coding RNA (PSAT_LNC003689)". The record is from RNAcentral. Lineage: Eukaryota; Viridiplantae; Streptophyta; Magnoliopsida; Fabales; Fabaceae.
ACCCAUUAAUCGACGAUAAACCCCCUUACCUGAUUAAUCCGGCAAAUCUUUGAGCUCCAAGCUUUUCUCUCUUCAACCUUCAGCCCUUGCUCUGUCUCUUUGCCCUUUUCCUCUUUCACGAUCGUCUCUCUGUUUUUCACGUAAAAACCUUUUUACUCCAAAAUGGGCUCUUUUCCUAUUUCCCAACAUAUAUAUAUUUUCCAAUAAUAAUAAUAAUAAUAAUAAAAUUUCCAAUUAUUUAAUUAAAUUAAUAAAUAAAUUAUUAACUCAAUUUAAAUAAUUAUUUUAUUAUUAUCGGGGUGUUACAAAGUGCACUUUGAAGUAUGUUGGUUGCUUUCUUAUUAUAAAUGACUUUUUUCUUAUCAUCUUCAUCCCAUAAACUUUUAGGAAUG